Long non-coding RNA from Pogoniulus pusillus (Red-fronted tinkerbird), 2138 nucleotides. RefSeq lists it as uncharacterized. The transcript has 2 exons. The record is from RefSeq and is a predicted model, not a curated record. NCBI's taxonomy places the organism in Eukaryota, Metazoa, Chordata, Aves, Piciformes, Lybiidae.
ACACUUGUGUCAAGUGGUCUUUUUACCUAGCCUAUGAGGGCUGCUAAAUGCUUGCCCUUCACACAGGUAUUGCUCAGAACCAGGCAGGUGCUACUAAUUCAAGGAUAUGGCUCCUGCUCAGAGCAAAUGGAGCAGCCUGGUCACAGAUCUGGUUUGCAGUAGUGCUGCUUUACAGCUCUCUGGCAGAGUAAAGGUGUCUUUCAAAGCAGGGCUGGGCUGGAGUCUGAAAGAUGGUGUGGAUUCUCCUCUACCUCUGCUGCUCACUGCAAGCUCUGCAGCAGGAGUUUUCCCUGUUUCACAACUCGACGCUGCUGCCUUGUAUUUCAAGGACAGCAUGUGGAGAACAAACUCAAUCUGUUGUCUGAUUUCUGUUUUACUUUUUUGUGUGCCUCGAGGCUAUCCUCACAUUCCUCACAGUUGGUGAAUAUUUCCCUGAAUCUCAUUUAGAGCACUGUACCUACAAGCCAGAUCCUUGUCAUCUCUAAAAGAUGUUUGUUUCCAUAGAAGAAUAGCAAUGAGGUUACUGUCUACUCCUUUCACAGACAGCCAGACUGGGUGAAGUCCAAAUAUCCAAUCAUCCCUUGGAAUUCCUAUUGCAUGAAGAUAAAGCAGCCAAAAAUGAUUUCCACGAGCUGGAUGGUUCUAUAGCUUUCUGUGUUUAUCUAACAGAAAAUAUUAAGAGGUACAGUAGGUCAUGCACUAAACAGAGCAAAAUCAUGAGGCCUGUGGGAGCUGAUGGAGAUGAGUUUAUAAUUUAUUUAUUUGAUUAACUUAACCUCUCUGCUUGAGAAUUGCUGGCAGUUUUCUUGCAUUGCUCUUAUGUUUGUUUGAUAAAAGGAAAAAACAGCCCAGCUGUACUGUGAGGAAGAUGCUGAAAGUGGUUUUGGAGGAGGGGAGGAGGGAGAAGGGAGAGAGGAGAGUUUGCAGAGCUCUGCCAGAACCUUAUUUUUUCCUGCCUUCCAAGAACAGGGCUGUGUUCCAUCCCCUGCUGCCCCCUCAGCUGGUGCUGGGAAGAGCAGCUGAGUUUAGCUCACUGUUCCUGGAAGUCACCGAGACACCGAGCAUCGAGAAACCAGCAUUUUCUGCUUGAAUGGAAAAGAUGAGCCAAUCUUCAUCCCUCUUGUUUGCUCCCCUGGAUUAACCCUCACUGCACCAAGAGAGGCUACAAAGUGGGCUUUGUUAGAAAGGAACAAAGGCUUUCUUCAUUCACUGGGGCCAUAUGGCUGGAAGCCACUCUGCAAUACAAUGUCACAUCGUUGGCCAGAUGCAUCCCUGAUCUAACCCAGGCUCAUUAGAUUGAUGCUAGAUUCACCUUUUAUUUUCUUAUCUUGCCCAUCAGAACUGAAGCACAAGCAGCUGCUCAGAGAGCAGGCAUGGCUCUAGUGACCAUGUCCUCCCUGGGCUCUGUGCUUCAGGAGAGUGCUGCUUUUAGGAGUGCAAAGAACUUGUCAGCCACAGGCUGCCCCAAAGCUGUCCUGGUUAAAGGGUAUCUUGCAGGUGUUUAACAGCACGGUGCUGUGCACUGGUGAACCAAACGUUUGAUAGUGUGCUUUUAGAACCAAAUAGAGUCUGCGGGAUGUAGGGUAAAUUCCAGUCAGUAAAUGAAAUUACUCAUUUGAAGGUCUGCCUUUCUGUUAUGGAUAGGGAGGAGGAAUAUGUAGUUUAUAAUCUUUUAAGUUGGAUUCUGUUUCUUGCUGCAUGACUGGGGCCAAGCACUGUUCUCUGAUACCUCAGUUUCACCAGUGUACUGUAGGCUGUUCUGAAACUAUGGUUCAGUUCAUGAUCCUUUGAGCUUAUUGAUGCUUGUGGGGUCCCCAGGCAGAGAUCUCUGGAAGCAGAUUGUUACUGGCUCACUGGCAAUGCACUGGCUCAUUUGCUGCUGUCUUCAAAGCUUGUUAUUCUGCAGCUGUGACUGUCACAGCCAUAGCCCCAAUGCCACAUUUAUCUGGGUCUGAUGGUAGGAAUGAAUCUCAUGAGAUCCAGAUUAACAGAUUCAGGUGACCAGAACAUAGCAGAUGGAGGCAUUUCUGUUGCUAUUUCAGUGAAUGCAAUUAGAAGAUAAGUAGUCCAAAGGUAUUUCUCUUUCAAUAUUUUUCUCUUUCUGUAUUCAGAGAAGAAAGAAAAUCUCUUCCUUUUCC